AACGAACGCUGGCGGCAUGCCUAACACAUGCAAGUCGAACGAGAUCUUCGGGUCUAGUGGCGCACGGGUGCGUAACGCGUGGGAAUCUGCCCUUUGGUUCGGAAUAACAGUUGGAAACGACUGCUAAUACCGGAUGAUGACGAAAGUCCAAAGAUUUAUCGCCAGAGGAUGAGCCCGCGUAGGAUUAGCUAGUUGGUGUGGUAAAGGCGCACCAAGGCGACGGUCCUUAGCUGGUCUGAGAGGAUGAUCAGCCACACUGGGACUGAGACACGGGCCAGACUCCUACGGGAGGCAGCAGUGGGGAAUAUUGGACAAUGGGCGAAAGCCUGAUCCAGCAAUGCCGCGUGAGUGAUGAAGGCCUUAGGGUUGUAAAGCUCUUUUACCCGGGAUGAUAAUGACAGUACCGGGAGAAUAAGCUCCGGCUAACUCCGUGCCAGCCGCCGCAGUAA
This 449-nucleotide ribosomal RNA is filed under the name uncultured bacterium. RNAcentral describes it as "partial 16S ribosomal RNA". It matches the Rfam family "Bacterial small subunit ribosomal RNA", at positions 29 to 523 of the family's 1533-position model. The record is from RNAcentral.